CGCGAUGCGCCGGCGGCGCGGCCGCUCACCCGAAAUCCUGGUCCAUGGACUUGAAGAAGAACUUGUAGCUGUGCACGGGCCGGUUGCUGAGGACAUUUUUGAAAUCGGCCAGCGUGACUUUCUCCGGCGGCACCGGCAGCUUCACCAGGACAGGGACAUUCACUUCUCAGUGUUCAGCUGCUCUCUGUGAAAGGGUAAAUCACAGCUCAGUGACUGAAUUACCUGUCACUGGAAUGAUUUCUCUACCAGCACAAAACAGAGGAACAAACUGUGUUAGUGGCUGCCAGAAGCACUGGAUAAUCCACAACUCAACAAGGUUUAACAACACUGAGAAACCAAAACAUCAUCACCUGCCUGCUGCCAUUUCUGGUUCAGUGAAGGAAUUACAAAAUCCCAGCCACUGGAGUUCUCCAGCUGAUGUUCCUGCCACUCAUCACUGCUAAAUGGGAAUGCUUGUGUGAUCAUCAAACAGGAUAAACAGCAAGGUAAAGUUCUAUAUCCUGCUUUGAUCCUUCACAUUCCUGCCCCUGCACCGUCCAUCCAAGCUGUUUCCAUCAGUGUCCCUGGAAGAACUCUGGUGCCAGCUGGGAUAGUGCUCAGGGGGUGGAAACCCUCCAAGAGCAGAAUGUGCAGCAGGAACUUCGCAAGGUGUGAGUUCUGCAAGCAAAGAGGAAUCUGGGCUGGGAGUGAAAUAACAUAUUCCAGCAGGAUGUGUUAUCUUCCCUUCUGGACCUGCAAAAUUAAAUCCUGUGGAAGAGCUGCCAGCCUUCCCCUCUGAUGGAUGGUUUGAACUCCAUCUCCAGCUGCGGAUCCGCCCGUUACACAACACUUUUGGAGAGCUGCAAUUUCUCCACGGGCCCCAUGACCCUGUCAAAUAAUAAUGUCCCACGUGGAAAGGAUAUUGGAGUCACUGGAAUAGCUUAUUGAAUCCAGUCUGCACUUUGUAAAGCACUUUAGGAUGCUCUGAGAUGAAACACACUGCACAGCUCUUGGGAAGAAUUAGCUAAUGCUGGCUGAUGGCUCAGGUAGCAUCUCCAAAGAGCAAGAAAUAAAACCAACCUUAGCUGGAAACUCCA
Molecule: long non-coding RNA, 1076 nt
Organism: Lepidothrix coronata (blue-crowned manakin)
Lineage: Eukaryota; Metazoa; Chordata; Aves; Passeriformes; Pipridae
Exons: 4
Source: RefSeq, a predicted model, not a curated record